GAUGAACGCUGGCGGCGUGCCUAAUACAUGCAAGUCGAGCGAACAGACGAUGAGCUUGCUCCUCUGACGUUAGCGGCGGACGGGUGAGUAACACGUGGAUAACCUACCUAUAAGACUGGGAUAACUUCGGGAAACCGGAGCUAAUACCGGAUAAUAUAUUGAACCGCAUGGUUCAAUAGUUAAAGACGGUUUUGCUGACUCAUAUAGAUGGAUCCGCGCCGCAUUAGCUAGUUGGUAAGGUAACGGCUUACCAAGGCAACGAUGCGUAGCCGACCUGAGAGGGUGAUCGGCCACACUGGAACUGAGACACGGUCCAGACUCCUACGGGAGGCAGCAGUAGGGAAUAUUCCGCAAUGGGCGCAAGCCUGACGGAGCAACGCCGCGUGAGUGAAGAAGGUCUUCGGAUCGUAAAACUCUGUUAUUAGGGAAGAACAAAUGUGGAAGUAACUAUGCACGUCUUGACGGUACCCAAUCAGAAAGCACCGGCUAACUACGUG
Molecule: ribosomal RNA, 497 nt
Filed under: uncultured bacterium
Lineage: Bacteria
Description: partial 16S ribosomal RNA
Rfam family: Bacterial small subunit ribosomal RNA
Source: RNAcentral